UUUAAUUUCUAAACAAAUUCCCAAGCAUGGUUUUCCUUAACUUUCGACAAAAAGGUCUCUAGGAUACGAAUAUAAACAUUUUUCCUUUAACAUGUGGACAGUCAGCACCGUGAAGAUUUCAGGAACGCGCGGCAUGUUGGGAUGUACUGUUUUAUUAACAGCGUCACAAAACCAGCAGUCGCUGAAUGCACGCUGUAGCUGAAGGCCGUCUCACCGUGGACAGGUGCGCUGCCUCUCUGCGCAUGCGCAGUCCUCCCGGCUCGGCAAGUUAGUGUUAAAAUGGCGGCGGCCGCAGCGGAGCAGGUAACGCAACCUGUGUAAUCUCAACUGCCGCUCGGCGUCACUUCAACUCGGGCGGUGCUGCUGGAGGAAAAGUGGACGAGUGUGGAUUUAUUUCUCGGAGCCUGUCAGUAAAAGUGCGUGUGUGCGUGUGUGUGUGUGUGUGUGAGAGGGAAGUAGCGCUGUGAUGAAGAAGCAGGAACAGAAAUGCACAGAUGAGUGAAGUUCAAACUGAACGGAAGUGAACUUCACAUGCCUCCUCCCCGCCGCGGCUCGGGGUCAUUAGAACGCGCAUUAGAGCGUUAUUAACGCGACCUUAUGCAGUUUAGGCCGGAGGGGUAACUCCUGCUCUCAAGUUCAUGCCGGGUUUCUGUGUGUGAAGAGAAGCGCCGAGUCCGAGACACAAACACACACAGAGAGAGAGAGAGAGAGAGAGAGAGAGAGAGGUGAAGUCUGUCCAUCAUCAUCAUCAUCAUCAUCAUCAUCAUCAUCAUCAUGGACAGGAAGGUGCAGAUAAGAUGUGUAGAAGUGUUAUAAAGCAACACAACACGGAAGAAGGGAUGGACACAGAAGAUACGAUGAGAAACCCGGAUGGAAAAGAUUUUCACGCUGCUGAAAACGGCUCUGUCGUCGGUUCACACACUCCCGAUCUCCUUCGCGGUGUGUGUUUGAGCUCCACGCCGCUGUACUGCCGCUCGGCCUCAGCCACUGCCUCUCUGCACAGCGCCUCCUGUUGGUGAGGAGGAGGAGCAGCACAGCGUGGAGUCGCAGGACUCGGGCAUCCCGACUCUGGAGCUCAGCUCACCCGAGGGUAACGAGUUUCAAACAGUACUGUACGGUGUGUGUGUGUGUGUGUGUGUGUGUGUGUGUGUGAGUGUGUGUGUGUAAGUGUGCGUGUGUGUGUGUGUGUGUG
Ictalurus punctatus (channel catfish) is the source of this 1192-nucleotide long non-coding RNA. Lineage: Eukaryota; Metazoa; Chordata; Actinopteri; Siluriformes; Ictaluridae. The record is from Ensembl.